GUUUAAGUGAUACACAGGUAUCCCCCUUAUAUGUUUAAGUGAUACACAGGUAUCCCCCCUUAUAUGUUAAGUGAUACACAGGUAUCCCCCCUUAUAUGUUAAGUGAUACACAGGUAUCUACCCACUUUAUGUUCAUUGAUAUCCUUGGAUAGUUUAGUUCCUAUUUUGUCAUCUCACCUAUACAAACUUGACUCAAUGCCUUAUGGUAAAUGUUGGAUGAAGAAAAAACACCGG
This 234-nucleotide long non-coding RNA is filed under the name Mytilus galloprovincialis (Mediterranean mussel). Lineage: Eukaryota; Metazoa; Mollusca; Bivalvia; Mytilida; Mytilidae. The record is from RNAcentral.